This 476-nucleotide ribosomal RNA is filed under the name uncultured bacterium. RNAcentral's name for it is "partial 16S ribosomal RNA". It matches the Rfam family "Bacterial small subunit ribosomal RNA", at positions 28 to 523 of the family's 1533-position model. The record is from RNAcentral.
GACGAACGCUGGCGGCAUGCCUAACACAUGCAAGUCGAACGGUAAGGCUUCCUUCGGGAGUACACGAGUGGCGAACGGGUGAGUAACACGUGGGUAACCUCCCCCUGACUGGGGGACGACCGAGGGAGCCUUCCGCUAAUACCACCUAACCUGCAUUUGCUCAAGUGGGUGUACCAAAGCUCCGGCGGUUAAGGAUGGGCCCGCGGCAGAUUAGCUUGGUGGUGAGGUAACGGCUUACCAAGGCGACGAGCUGUGGCUGGGCUGAGAGGACGAUCAGCCACACUGGAACUGAGACACGGGCCAGACUCCGACGGGAGGCAGCAGUGGGGAAUCUUGCGCAAUGGGCGAAAGCCUGACGCAGCAAUGCCGCGUGAGGGAAGACGGCCUUAGGGUUGUAAACCUCUUUCAGCAGGGACGAACACAGACGGUACCUGCAGAAGAAGCCCCGGCUAACUACGUGCCAGCCGCCGCAGUAA